GUAGGUGGCAAGCGUUGUCCGGAAUUAUUGGGCGUAAAGCGCGCGCAGGCGGUCCUUUAAGUCUGAUGUGAAACGCCCACGGCUCAACCGUGGAGGGUCAUUGGAAACUGGGGGACUUGAGUACAGAAGAGGAAAGCGGAAUUCCAAGUGUAGCGGUGAAAUGCGUAGAGAUUUGGAGGAACACCAGUGGCGAAGGCGGCUUUCUGGUCUGUAACUGACGCUGAGGCGCGAAAGCGUGGGGAGCAAACAGGAUUAGAUACCCUGGUAGUCCACGCCGUAAACGAUGAGUGCUAAGUGUUAGGGGGUUUCCCGCCCCCCUUAGUGCUGCAGCUAACGCAUUAAGCACUCCGCCUGGGGAGUACGGCGCAAGGCUG
Molecule: ribosomal RNA, 374 nt
Filed under: uncultured organism
Description: partial 16S ribosomal RNA
Rfam family: Bacterial small subunit ribosomal RNA
Source: RNAcentral